RNAcentral lists this long non-coding RNA (861 nucleotides) under Equus caballus (horse). RNAcentral's name for it is "lncRNA (ENSECAG00000048064.1)". The stretch from base 474 to 561 matches the Rfam family "mir-9014 microRNA precursor family". Lineage: Eukaryota; Metazoa; Chordata; Mammalia; Perissodactyla; Equidae. The record is from RNAcentral.
GUGCCUGGUGUAUGGUCCCAGAGAAAGGGAGCCAUUACCUUGAAAAUCCCCCCAAUGGAGUUCCUGUAGCAAGGGAUGAUGGGGGCAUCCCUUGAACAUCUUCCCUAUUCUGCCUGACAGUAAUAGGUGCCUGGCGUAUGGUCCCAGAGAAAGGGAGCCAUUACCUUGAAAAUCCCCCCAUUGGGGUUCCUGUAGCAAGGGAUGAUGGGGGCAUCCCUUGAACAUCUUCCCUAUUCUGCCUGGCAGGAAUAGGUGCCUGGCGUAUGGUCCCCAGGAGAGAAAAGGACAAAGACAGUGAGAAAGAGAAAGACAGUGAGGAAUUUUCCGCCAGUCUGGGGGACAUUCUACCCAAUUGCAUCCUGGAGCCAUUCUCCCAAGAAGGGGUUCCCAUACUCCACCAAAGGUUAGAGUUUGGUACUUCCCUUGAACUGGAGUCCCGAGUGGGACUUUCCUCGCAGUUCAGAGCGUGGUCAGGUGCCAGAGGGAGGGAUCCCAAUCCAGCCUUAGGAAAAGAAACCUUCCACGGGAGUCUUGGAGAUUGGCGGCCGUCCUAAUGACUUAAGUGGCCGACCCGCGCCCACGUAAAAUUUGUCUAUUAGAGAUAGAGUCAGGAAGGAAUGGAUUAAUUCAUUCUCCAUCACCCUGAGGCUUAAGGUACUGAAUCUCUUCAAGCUGAAUGCCACAAUUUGCCCCAUAGAGUAGCCAUGGGCAGCAAACGUGGAUUCAUACAACCAUCCAAGAAAGUUCCCGAUGGAGCAGUGAAUCUAGAUCCAUCCUUGAAAAAGAGAAAGGCAUAAGGAAGAAAAGGGCACUUACCAGAACUCGAGCUCACAAGCCGAUGAAGCAAGUCCCCGUACGGGC